GAUAGCUCAGCCAGUAGAGCAUAAGAUUCUUAAUCACAUGGUCAUGGGUUCAAGCCCAAUGUUGGACA
Non-coding RNA from Podarcis lilfordi (Lilford's wall lizard), 68 nucleotides. The record is from the annotation of a GenBank genome assembly. Lineage: Eukaryota; Metazoa; Chordata; Lepidosauria; Squamata; Lacertidae.